RNAcentral lists this microRNA precursor (95 nucleotides) under Nicotiana sylvestris (wood tobacco). RNAcentral's name for it is "MIR6152 microRNA precursor family". It matches the Rfam family "MIR6152 microRNA precursor family". RNAcentral also lists the same sequence under 1 other name. The record is from Rfam by way of RNAcentral. Lineage: Eukaryota; Viridiplantae; Streptophyta; Magnoliopsida; Solanales; Solanaceae.
UGGACAGAUUAUUGCAUUCGACUAUAUUUACGGCAUGAAACAGAGUUUUACACUGUUUUAAACGGAAAGUGAAUCAAUUAACAUAAUAGAUUCCU